RNAcentral lists this ribosomal RNA (440 nucleotides) under uncultured bacterium. Its description in RNAcentral is "partial 16S ribosomal RNA". It matches the Rfam family "Bacterial small subunit ribosomal RNA", at positions 338 to 795 of the family's 1533-position model. The record is from RNAcentral.
CCUACGGGAGGCUGCAGUGGGGGAUAUUGCACAAUGGGGGGAACCCUGAUGCAGCGACGCCGCGUGGGUGAAGGAGCGUUUCGGCGCGUAAAGCCCUAUCGGCAGGGAAGAAGAUGACGGUACCUGACCAAGAAGCCCCGGCUAACUACGUGCCAGCAGCCGCGGUAAUACGUAGGGGGCAAGCGUUAUCCGGAUUUACUGGGUUUAAAGGGAGCGUAGGCCGGCUUUUAAGUCAGCUGUGAAAGUUCGCGGCUCAACCGGGGAAUUGCAGUUGAAACUGGAGGCCUUGAGUGCACACAGGGAUGCCGGAAUUCAUGGUGUAGCGGUGAAAUGCUUAGAUAUCAUGAAGAACUCCGAUCGCGAAGGCAAGUGUCCGGGGUGCAACUGACGCUGAGGCUCGAAAGUGCGGGUAGCAAACAGGAUUAGAUACCCUUGUAGUC